Molecule: long non-coding RNA, 6582 nt
Filed under: Gallus gallus (chicken)
Lineage: Eukaryota; Metazoa; Chordata; Aves; Galliformes; Phasianidae
Source: RNAcentral
UGUGUAUGCCUCAUUACCUGUAAAUACAGAACAGGAGAGUUAGUUAUGUCAAUGUGAGCAGUAUUAGUCGUAAAGAAUGAAUACUUUUAUUCUCUCUUCUUUUAUAAUACAAGUUUACUUAGAAAAUAACCUUCCAAGAAGUUUGCUGGCAUGGUAGAUUUCUCAUCAAAUGUUUGUCUAGUCUAAAAUUUCACCUUCCUACACUGCCCAAGGAGGCUGUGGAUGCCCAUCCCUGGAGAUAUUCAAGGCCAGGCUGGAUGUGGCUCUGGGCAGCCUGGUCUGGUGGUUGGCGACCCUGUAUGUAGCAGGGGGGUUGAAACUCAAUUAUCAUUGUGGUCCUUUUCAAUCCAAGCCAUUCUAUGAUUCUAUGAUUUUAGACAAUGUACGUUGUGAACUCUCAGUCUACGUCACGCUGCUUUACCAGUUUUAACAUAAGCAUGAAAGCGUGUGUUGUUUUGGAUCCACCCAAAUUACUGAAAACAUUCUACUGAUUUAAUUAAUUCCUUGUCCUAAAGGGUGUGCAGAUGUGUUUCUAGCAGAGAAAUUCUGCUGAAGAGUGGUUGCACUUCAGUCGUAGGUGAACCGAUCAGUAUUUUCAGCUCUAUAAAGCUCACUGUAGAAAAGGAACAUAAAAUAAGUAUUUAAAUUAUUAAUGACUUGACAAAUGUGUUUUCUUACGCGUAGUGAGAAUGUGGAAGUUUGAUAAAUACGGGAGAUAUCACGAUAUGGGAGAACUAUAUUAUUUCAGGCAGUGCACGGCAAAUUAUAUUCUCCUUGAUAGGUUAUAAAAUCACCACUGUGAAACAAAGUAAAAUAAAUUACAGUGUUUCUGAGUAGAACUUCCAGUAAGCCAUGUAUCAGUUUUCCCUGAAUGAAAGAUCACUAGAAGCUCAAAAUGUUAUGAAGAAGCAAGUUCGGCAUAUGAGCUUUAGCAGUAAUAACCUGCCUGUUGUUGCAUAAUCCUCUUAGGUGGUGCAAGCUGGAUCUGUGGUUCAGCAGCUGAAUGAUAAUGAGCUGAGCAUCUGCCAAAAAGUAUCAUCUGUAACUGCAACCCGGUGUUCACAAAUUUUAGUGAUGAGCAAAUAAUUGAUUUCGGUAGCGUAACAUUUUCUUACGUGGUACUUGUGUUCAGUGCAGGCUUUCUGACGUGCUGCAGACUUCUCUCGAAGGUGUUUGUGACAAACAGUGCUAAAGAAAUUUGGAAACUGAGCUUCCAAACACAGAUAUUAAGUGAUGGCACUUAGAGCAAUCAGGUUCUGGAGUUGGUGGCUUCGUCAGUGCUUUCUCAGAGUUAACUCGGUUGCUCUUUGUGCAAGGAGCCUGGUUUAGCUCUAAACCAUAACACUGUGACACAGGACGGUGCUUUUCUUGUCUGCUUUACAGCUGUAUAAAUCCAAACAAGAGCCCUACAGUGAGCCAGCUUAAAUCACUGGAAAAUGAGUUCCUGCUAAUAAAAAUCGAUUAAUGGCUUAAAAGUUGAAAGCCAAUUUCUUAUAAAGGUUUGUUUAAAGUUGCACUUUUAUAUUAUGCUAUUGCAGUUAAUCUAAUCGGGAGAAAUGACUGCUUCCUCUCCUGAUCUUUCUAUUCCAGUAGAAAGAACAAUUGGCUUCAGAAGUCCCUGACCAGGUAUCACAGAUAAUACCUCAAAAUAUAAUUUUAUUGUCAUUGCUUCCACGUUGACCUUUUUUUUUUUUCUUUUUUUCUUUUAAAUCCAUCUGGAUAAGCUGUGAGGUGUUCUGGUCUCAGCUGUGAAGUUACCCCACAGUGUUUCUCAGCAAUGAUUAUGAAGAAGGGUACGUAAUCUCUUGUUAUCAGUAGUAGCACUCAAAUAGUGCAGAGCAAUUGUGUGAAGGAUUUUAGAAGAUUUUUGAAAGAAAUGGGAUGCAGAUAGACAUCCCUGGGAUUCACUAAGUAUCACCUGUUUCAUUUUUCUAUCAGUAGUGCACGGUGGUAGAAAUGGACUUUUAAAGGUAUGCUUUCUGAUGACGUCAUACGAACUAUUCUGGUUUAAAAUAAUAAUAACAAAAAUAAUUGUACCUGGCUAAUUGGUCUGUUACCAGCUGCUUCAGGAUGUGAACCUGAGAGUGUUUUUUAUAAGAUAGCCUCUCUCAAAAGAUGGGAGGUAGUACAUAAGACAGUAUUGCCCUCUGUUCUGCAGUUUUACAGUUCUAGCUGUCCAAAUCAAUCCUGAUACAAAUAAUUAUGUCUUCUCUUGUUUUCAAGGAACAUGUUUAGCUGCCAGGGGAGGGCGAACCCAGAGCAUGAUGUGAUCAAAACUUUGUAAAUCAUUGGCAGGUGCUAUGCAAGCCAUGAUUAUGAUCUGUCUCAUAAAAAUCAUCAGGGACUCAGUUUUUGCCAUGUUGCUGCUCCGGAAGAAGCUGCACAGCUGGCAGAGCAUAUUGCCCAUCACCUUGCCAGACUUGGCAUUUGAAAGUCUGCCAGAUUGCUUUGUGCUGUCAUGCUAGCCAUAGAUCAGCUGUAUGCGACAGAAUGAGGAUAGGAAGCAUUUUAUUUUUUGCCCUCUGUAGGAUCACAAGAGUUAAAGUUGCAUUUAAGAAGUCCAAUCUGCUUUCUGAACCUACUAGGUACUUCUGUUGCGUUGCCACCAGGCCAUAGGUUAGCCAGGUUAGCCCCUGUGCUGCAGAAAUCUAUACAGAAAUUUUGUUCUUGAUAUAUUCCAGUACAAUUUCUACUAAUAUCAAUGUUUGGAGUUACUCUGUAUGGACAGCUUUUCGUGUUUUAUGUAAUUUUAUUAUGCUUCAGUAUUUCUUUCAUAAUCUCCCUGAUUUUACUAAUGCACAAUAUUGCAAAUGCAGUGUAAAACUAGUCAACAGACUUCAAAUCAUUUGCGUAUCUCUAAACCUCUUAUGCUGAUUAAAAGUGUUAAGGCUAUUAGUAUUUUUUAUGUAACCUGGUCUAAAUUUAGUCUCUGUUACAGUCAGAAAACACUCUGAUAUUGCAAACCAGGAUCCUAAUCUGCUUCCUGUGGGGUUGGUGGCAGCAAUUCUUCAGCUGAGCUUUUGUGUUUUUGUCAGUUGAUAACUUGAAUAGAUAAUUCUUCGUGUUUAUCACAGAAAUUCUUGACUUUUUAUAGUUCUUCUUUCUUUUCCAGAAGUGUGUGUGGGGGGUGCUGUUGUCAAAUUGUUGUGUUAAAUUCUGUGCAGAGCAGGUAAAAGGAAAUAACUGGAGCAAAUAGAAAUCAUAGAUAUAGUCAAUAGCUUCCAAACUGAAUAGCUGUAAAAUACCAGAAUGACAGCCUCAUCCUGCAAAAAUCCAUCUGUUGGUUCAUUCUGUGUAGCCUGUUGUUGUUUUAACACAUUAGUUGCUGCUAUAUGGCUGUUUCAUAAUGCCACUGUAUAUUAAUGACAUUGCUUCCUUCAAUAUUGUGCACUGCCUUUGGUCAGUCAAGAGCCAUACUGUUAAUUUCACAUGUUCAUUAAUUUCACAAGUUCUGUUUCUGUGAUGGAUUGCUAUAGAAAGCCAGCUUACAAAAGGUAGUCUAGCUGUGCCUUGGUAGUUGAGGUAUUAGAACACGUAGUGAAGGAAACAAUCAGCUUUGUGUUCAAGGCAACCUUUGGGAAGAUGGAAUAACUUGACCAGUACUUUUGCUGCUAAUUAUAAAUAAAAAUGCGUGUCUUUAAGCUGAUGUGCAGAAACAGAUGAUUUACAUGACUGCUUUAACAUAAAAUUCAAGCUUACUCUUUUCAUAUAUGCAUACAUAUAGUUGUAUAUCCAAUAGUACAGAGCUUGAGUGCUUCACACUUCUGGUAGUUUUACUCCUGCACUCACAAGGCUAUUCAGCCAACGGUUGUGUAGGAAAGGAAUAACUUCCUAAUUAUGACAGUUAUUUCUUUGAUCUGUGAAUGGAAUUUUCCCUUGGUUGUCAGAUCACGUGCUCUAACAAUUUUGAAGUCAUCCUGAAGUAACUCUCCAACUCUCCUAACUAGUGGGGGCACAUUUUUUCCUUGACUUUGAGCAGCCUAAAGAGACUGUCUUCUUGAGAAUGGGGAGGGAUAGCUGCUUUGGUAUUCUUGGUUUGGAAAUAAGGUAUGGAUGGAGUGAAGAAAGAGUCCUUGACUGUGGAAUUUAAGGAGAAAUGACCAAAUAUAUGAUUUUCUCAAGGAGAUGAUACUUUGCUUUGCUUCAGAGGGCUAUGAAUAUCUUAUCAACUAUUACCUAUAAAACUAGGCAUGGGCUUAAGAUUUGGUUGGGGAGCCUAGACAGUUUUACUGGCAGGUCUUUGAGUGUGUUUAAGACUAUCAUGACAGAAGAAAAGAACGUCAAACACUUCGUUGAUAAGACCAGGUCAGUUCUAUAACCAGCAUCAGAAGGAGUUAGACUUACUUGUGAAUAAAACAGCAGAGCCUCUAGGUUUGGGUUUUAAGGCUACAAAAAGUUUGUGAAAUGUUUGGAGCUGGGUGCUUUGGCUUAAUUUGAUUUAUAAUUUAGAUUAUGGCUAAAGACAGGAUGAAGGGCUCCAGGGCUGCAAAUCUAAAUUUUGUUCAGUUUUAUGGUGGGAGAAGCUAGAAUGAUGCCUGAUGCUGAUGAAUACAAGUGACGUGGAGUGCUGUAGGCAAAUUGUGGGUGUUCUUGGCAACUUAUGCACUACUGCUUCCAAUAGCUGCAUUGCUCAGUUGACACUAACAACUAGAAGUUGCAAGACACUAUUUUCUCAUUCGUUCAUAAACUUUUAAUAUAUGUUGCACUCUAUUCACUGUCACUGGCCCAAAGAUUAGUCUGUAAUAUUUUGAAUAAGCAAAGAUACUUUUUCAUUAAUUCUCGAUAAUAACAUUCUGUCAAUUAAUAAUUCAUUAGAUCAAUCGCAUGCAGUGUGAUUAUAUGAAAUCUGAAACUAAGGGAAAUCUUAAUAGUUUAAUUCCUAAAUAUUGAAAAAUCUUCCUUGUAUUAAGUGACUUUUCUCAUGAUGAUUCACCUUUCUUGAAAAUCUUUGAGCUUACUAAAAUUGUUUCCAACAAUACGAAUGUAUACUUCUGUAAGCCAUGAUUUCUUGUUGCGAGUAUUCUGCUUUACCUUCUCUAUCUCUGAAGUGGCAGAUACAUGUGAGUCUCUGAACAGACUUAGCGAGUCUGCUAUAUACUAUUUUUUGCACUAAUGUAAAAUCUCUCCUAUUAGCAUUGCAGCCCAUAUCUUACUGCACAGAGCUUUGACUUCCUUCGUGUGACUUAUGAGAAAUGCUUAAGUACAAUACUGGUUAUGUCAUUUGGAAAAAUGUCAAGUCAACUUCUUGGCUUUGACUCCCACAUCUUCUGUCAUUGUCUAACAAAUUCCUAGCCCUGCAGCAGGUAACUAACUUAUGACUCUAUGUGGACAGCUGAGAAUUAUCCAGCAAGACAUCUUUAAUGUCUAGUAUGGUAGGAUGUGUCUGUGCUGACAGAAUGGCGUGCUUCAGGGAAGAUGUGGGGGAAAAGAUGAAACUGGUGAAGGCAGGCAGAUUCCUAUUUAAUUGUCCAAUAUUUCUGUGGAGUAUGCCAAAGGAUUACUUUCUGGAUCAUCAAAUUCACACUAUUUGUGAUUAAUGCCUUUAAUACUCAGUCUGUCUCCUCAAACACAGGGCCUUCAUUUCUGUGUUGCAUCUCUUCUCACUUUGAUCUGCUUUAGUGCUUGGAGAGAAGGGAGUUCUUUGCACACCUUUUAUGUUAACAUUUUCUUAGAAUUCUGUCUUUGCAUGAGGAAAACCUGUACAUUAAUUUCAGUUUAGUGAAGGCAGGUGCACAUGUCAGCAUAAUGAGCCUUAAAGAUCUUUAAGGAGACAAGUGAUUUGUGUAGUGAGGUUAUUUUUAGAAGGCCAACUUUCAAGUCAUGUUGAUUUAAUAUUUCUGAAGCUUUGUUGUCAUGAACCUUUGUAAUACUUAUCCAUUUUCUAAAACGGUGGUUAAGUAAAUGUGUGCAACACUAACGCAAGAUGGUUAGUUGCUGGUUGUAGCAGUUCAAAUGAUUAGAUCUUUACAUCACCAGUUACCUACCAUGGAAUUAAUGUGGAUCCGUUAGCUAAAACUGCCAUGCCAUAGUGCAAAGUUUUCUUACGACUUUUUGUUCAGGCUGCAAUUUCAUAGAACGUGAAAAAUAAAGCUUUUGAUAUCUUUCUGUAUGUGUGAGAAUUGCUACGUCAUGGCCUGAACCAAUGAUUGAGCACCUGGUGAAGGGACACAGCCAGCCCUGGGAGCACAGGUGACACAAUUCACCUGUGUGAGCAGAAGGAGUGCAGCCUGGUUCCACCCCUCCCUAAACAUCAUUUAAAAGGCUGGCUGCCUCUAGAGGACUCUCUUACUUGGAGAUCCCUCCUUCUGGAGUAUUCAGGGAGCCCUGAUCCUUGGGGCAGCAUGUGGAAGAAAAACAAAACCUCUGCAACAUUAACUGGGUGAGUACUUCUGUUCAAGGUGAGUUAUCUUGGAAGGCAGGAGUAGGCUGGAGCUGAAGCCUCACAGCUGAAAUGCUUACUGCCUCUUUAGUUGAUACUCAGUUACAGCCAAUGCUAUGGAAAUGAGAUUCUGAUACAUAUGCUAGUAAUAUUUCUCUUCCAUCUUGGUCGGCUGGUUGGGUGAGAACUUCUGUUGUUGCCCU